Molecule: ribosomal RNA, 382 nt
Filed under: uncultured fungus
Lineage: Eukaryota; Fungi
Description: partial small subunit ribosomal RNA
Rfam family: Eukaryotic small subunit ribosomal RNA
Source: RNAcentral
GCUUGUCUCAAAGAUUAAGCCAUGCAUGUUCAAGUAUAGCAAGUGUACAGUGAAACUGCGAAUGGCUCAUUAAAUCAGUUAUAAUUUAUUUGAUAGUGAAAUUGUACAUGGAUAACCGUGGCAAUUCUAGGGCUAAUACAUGCGUCAAUGGUCGGUCGACCAGUAUUUAUUAGAUACAAAGCCAGCCGUCAGGAUCAGGUGAAUCAUGAUAACCAAACGAAUCGCAAGCGCAAGCGGCGAUGGUUCAUUCAAAUUUCUGCCCUAUCAACUUUCGAUGGUAAGGUAUUGGCUUACCAUGGUUACAACGGGUAACGGGGAAUUAGGGUUCGAUUCCGGAGAGGGGGCCUGAGAAAUGGCCACCACUUCCAAGGAAGGCAGCAGG